RNAcentral lists this ribosomal RNA (730 nucleotides) under uncultured bacterium. RNAcentral's name for it is "bacterial SSU rRNA". It matches the Rfam family "Bacterial small subunit ribosomal RNA", at positions 771 to 1501 of the family's 1533-position model. The record is from RNAcentral.
AACAGGAUUAGAUACCCUGGUAGUCCACGCCGUAAACGAUGUCGACUUGGAGGUUGUGCCCUUGAGGCGUGGCUUCCGGAGCUAACGCGUUAAGUCGACCGCCUGGGGAGUACGGCCGCAAGGUUAAAACUCAAAUGAAUUGACGGGGGCCCGCACAAGCGGUGGAGCAUGUGGUUUAAUUCGAUGCAACGCGAGGAACCUUACCUGGUCUUGACAUCCACGGAAGUUUUCAGAGAUGAGAAUGUGCCUUCGGGAACCGUGAGACAGGUGCUGCAUGGCUGUCGUCAGCUCGUGUUGUGAAAUGUUGGGUUAAGUCCCGCAACGAGCGCAACCCUUAUCCUUUGUUGCCAGCGGUCCGGCCGGGAACUCAAAGGAGACUGCCAGUGAUAAACUGGAGGAAGGUGGGGAUGACGUCAAGUCAUCAUGGCCCUUACGACCAGGGCUACACACGUGCUACAAUGGCGCAUACAAAGAGAAGCGACCUCGCGAGAGCAAGCGGACCUCAUAAAGUGCGUCGUAGUCCGGAUUGGAGUCUGCAACUCGACUCCAUGAAGUCGGAAUCGCUAGUAAUCGUGGAUCAGAAUGCCACGGUGAAUACGUUCCCGGGCCUUGUACACACCGCCCGUCACACCAUGGGAGUGGGUUGCAAAAGAAGUAGGUAGCUUAACCUUCGGGAGGGCGCUUACCACUUUGUGAUUCAUGACUGGCGUGAAGUCGUAACAAGGUAACC